Lontra canadensis (Northern American river otter) is the source of this 545-nucleotide long non-coding RNA. RefSeq lists it as uncharacterized. The transcript has 3 exons. The record is from RefSeq and is a predicted model, not a curated record. Lineage: Eukaryota; Metazoa; Chordata; Mammalia; Carnivora; Mustelidae.
AUGGGGGGUGGUGGUUUGUGAGGGCAGUCUAGGCCAGAUCCCAGUUUGGGCAUGGGGAGGUGGGAAUGUUGGUUCCAUUCACCCAAAUCAGGAACACGUGGGAGAGCUGGGGAAGGUCGGGGAGCAGAAUCAUCUAGAGCCUUGCUACUCAAAGUGUGGUUCGGGAACCAAAGCGUAUCAACACCUCUUGGUGUGAAGAUCUCAGCUUCACCUCAGACAAGCUAACUCAGAACCUGCAUUUUAACAAGAGAUCCACCCACCCGUGAUUUGACUGCACUUUAAAGGUUUUUACUUACAGUAUUUUAACUGCAAGGAUUUUUCUGCUACACUGACCAAGAGAAGAGGGCCUGGGACUGAAUCUGAGAAAUCCAACAUGGAAGAAGGGGAUAGAUGAGGACGAGAUGCCCAGAAAGGUAGGAGAAAACCGGGUGGGCUUGACUCACGGAAGCCCAGAGCAAUGACCUUUUAAGGACAUAAUAUUUGUCAGUUUCUCUUAUCACGCUGACAAGCAUGUAACGAGAGCCCUCCAUGAAGAUUAGCCAUUG